This 32-nucleotide ribosomal RNA is filed under the name Blastomyces dermatitidis. RNAcentral's name for it is "partial 18S ribosomal RNA". The record is from RNAcentral. Lineage: Eukaryota; Fungi; Ascomycota; Eurotiomycetes; Onygenales; Ajellomycetaceae. RNAcentral also lists the same sequence under 4 other names.
UUCCGUAGGUGAACCUGCGGAAGGAUCAUUAA